Molecule: ribosomal RNA, 504 nt
Filed under: uncultured bacterium
Lineage: Bacteria
Description: partial 16S ribosomal RNA
Rfam family: Bacterial small subunit ribosomal RNA
Source: RNAcentral
AUUGAACGCUGGCGGCAGGCCUAACACAUGCAAGUCGAGCGGUAACACAGGGAGCUUGCUCCUGGGUGACGAGCGGCGGACGGGUGAGUAAUGUCUGGGAAACUGCCUGAUGGAGGGGGAUAACUACUGGAAACGGUAGCUAAUACCGCAUAACGUCGCAAGACCAAAGAGGGGGACCUUCGGGCCUCUUGCCAUCAGAUGUGCCCAGAUGGGAUUAGCUAGUAGGUGGGGUAAUGGCUCAGCUAGGCGACGAUCCCUAGCUGGUCUGAGAGGAUGACCAGCCACACUGGAACUGAGACACGGUCCAGACUCCUGCGGGAGGCAGCAGUGGGGAAUAUUGCACAAUGGGCGCAAGCCUGAUGCAGCCAUGCCGCGUGUAUGAAGAAGGCCUUCGGGUUGUAAAGUACUUUCAGCGGGGAGGAAGGUGUUGAGGUUAAUAACCUCAGCAAUUGACGUUACCCGCAGAAGAAGCACCGGCUAACUCCGUGCCAGCCGCCGCAGUAA